Papaver somniferum (opium poppy) is the source of this 1411-nucleotide long non-coding RNA. RefSeq lists it as uncharacterized. The transcript is spliced from 6 exons. Lineage: Eukaryota; Viridiplantae; Streptophyta; Magnoliopsida; Ranunculales; Papaveraceae. The record is from RefSeq and is a predicted model, not a curated record.
CUAGUCCUAUCUCUCGAAGGUCUUUCUUUUCUUUUUUCUUCAGACAAAAAUCUCGAGCCAGAGAGGCAAAAAAUAGAAACCUCUUUCCCUUCUCAGUUUCUUCCGUCGAUCUCUGGAUCAAACCUCUUUCUCUUCUCUUCUUUUGUGUUUUAUAUCCUUCUUUUUGAAAACCAGAGAGAAAUUAGAAUUUAGGGUUUUAAUCUCUAUUUUAUGACAAAUAUGAAUCAAUGGUGGUUGAUGGAUUUCGGAGAAAUUAGGGUUGGAUUCCGGUGAAAAGGGUAUUGGUUCCUCUUUAAUUCAAGAUCUAAGAGAGGGGUGUUAUGAUUGAUAGAUUCUGAUGUUGUGAAGAACAUAUGAUUAGAAUUCAGAUUUCUUCUGCUGAUUCAUGGCGAGAAAGAGAUGAAGAACUGAAUAUUGAAUAUGGAUUUCUUCUGGUGAUUGAGUUACAGAGAUGGGUUCAAUUAAGGGUUUGAACUGCUUUGGAUUGAGCAACUGAUGAUGAUUUAUGGUUUGUAGAAGAUGGAUCUAUGCUCGAUUUGUGAGAAGAAGAAUUGGCAAUUUAUGUUUGCAAUUGGGUCAUUCUCAAAUUUCCGUUAAAUCUUAAACCCUAGCUUCUAUUUCUUGAAUUUUGUUUUGAGACUUUUUUUUGUUUAAUUGUGUGUAUUGGUUAUCUGUUGAUCCAACCCUUGAGCAGUGGGAGAAAAUCAGGCAAUGAAAUCGCAGGGGUGGCUACCUUUCUUUGACAGUGCUUAUCAGGUUAUGACAGCCAUACAAAUGGUUAUAAAGUUUAAAACAUUCGUUUGCAGAGCAUUGUAGUUGCCUGUUUCCCAUGUUAUUCACACUGUUGGUCCUUUUUAUGAUAAUGAAAAUCAGCCGGAAGUUACUCUAAGAAAUGCAUACAGAAACUGCACAAAGCUUGCAAAAGACAAGAGCAGUAUAGAUUAUAUUUCUUUUACUGCCAUAUCUUGUGGUACUAAUGGACUUUGUGAGUUGAUGAGCUCAGCUAACGAUAAAUUUUUAUGAGAAGCUUCUAGUACCUGGUCUCAAAGUGGAUGAGUGAAAGUGAGAAUCGAUUCUUUAAGUGGACAGAGCGGGGAAGGAAAUGAGAGUGAAGCUUCUCGACGGAUCAAAACGGAUUACCUAAGCUUUCAAAUCUGUUGUGCAGUUGGGGAGACCAUGCAUCCUUCCAGCACAAAAAAGUAUGAAGGUAUCUCUGUGUUCGAUGUGACAAUGAACCUGCUCCUUGGACAAGGUUCUUUAUCUUUUCUUUUCAUUAUGUUUUAGUUUCUUUCGAUGGCUCUCUAAUGUAGCAUUCCUUUUCUUGUAAGGAUUACUAUGUGCUCUGUUGUGUAAUAAGUAAGAUGUUUGAUGUCCAAACUUGAUCUUAUUUGAGGUAAUAUUGUUUUUUCCA